This 21-nucleotide non-coding RNA is filed under the name Caenorhabditis elegans. The record is from RNAcentral. Lineage: Eukaryota; Metazoa; Nematoda; Chromadorea; Rhabditida; Rhabditidae.
UCUUUUUGCCAGAUAUGGGUA